UGGUGGCAGUGGGCAGCCACCGGUGGGUUUUAAGCUGGGCGUAACCAGUUAGGAAGCUAGUAGAUCAGGGGAGAAAUGUCAAGGUCCAGAAUAAGGCAGAUCACUGAGGGGUGAGACAGGCCGGGUUGAGGGGUGUUAAGACGAGGGAACCACGGGAGCUGGUUGAGGAGUGGAGGGGCUGACCCAUGUUUCGGGCGUCUCCUGUGCGCCACGAGGUGGGGCUGUCAUGGAAAGCAGACGCCGUCCCUGCUCUCAGGAAGCUUCCUUUCCAGAAGUCGACAAUGUGACGGCAUGAACUCACAGGAUAAAUUAGAUUGUGGUGCCCGAGAGACAUUCAAGUGGAGCUGACUUGGGCUGUCUAGAAGAGAGGCGACGGGUGGCUCCGAAGGAAGAGGCCUGACACCGAGUCCGGAAGAACGUCGCAUCGAGGCAGAGGGCGCAGGACGAGCCAGCGACAAAGGCGGGGGCGGAGCAGCGGAGGGGUAGGCGCGAGGCAACGGCAGCCUUGGCCGCGCGGGCCACGCUCAGAACUUGGCAAGCCCUCUUUCCCAAACACUCGCCCCCAGCCGCCCCGGCCUCCCGGCGAACAACGCCUGUGCCUAAUCGCGCCGGGGACACCUAAUCCCGCCGCGCGCCGCUCCAGCCCGCGCCGCGCUCCCGAGGGCAGGGGCUCCAAGGGCGAGGGCUCCUGAUGGCCGGGGCUCCGAGGGUCUUGGCUCCGAGGGCGGGGGCUCCGAUAGGAGGGGCUCCGAGGGCUGGGGCUCCGAUGCUUGGU
RNAcentral lists this long non-coding RNA (775 nucleotides) under Equus asinus (donkey). RNAcentral describes it as "lncRNA (ENSEASG00005030094.1)". Lineage: Eukaryota; Metazoa; Chordata; Mammalia; Perissodactyla; Equidae. The record is from RNAcentral.